Molecule: long non-coding RNA, 968 nt
Organism: Trichomycterus rosablanca
Lineage: Eukaryota; Metazoa; Chordata; Actinopteri; Siluriformes; Trichomycteridae
Exons: 4
Source: RefSeq, a predicted model, not a curated record
AAUAUGAGUCCUGGGGAUCUGGAUUUGAUCCUCACGCCAGUGUCAGUGGGGAGUUUGGUAUGUUUUCCUUGUAUCAGUAGUGUGUGUAGGUGUGUGGGUGUGUGUGUGUACUGGGAGAGCACACAGGUGGAGGACUGGUUUCUCACUCUUUAGGUAUCGACACUGUGUAGAAAGAUCAUCUCACCUUCUCUGAGCUCCACCUGCCAUCUAGUGGAGCAGAACUGAAGCUGCUCUUCAAUCCUGAAGGGAUCAUUCCAAAACAUGCAGAAGGUGGAUUGGCAUCUUUAAUACGAGUGGCGCUGUGGUGCAGCUGGCAGACUGGCUGGCGUACAGCAACACAGAUCAUGAAGAACUGUUCUCCUUUUUUCCAGGGACCUUUCCAAAACAUGCAGGAGGUGGAUUGGCUGUUCUAAAUAGUCACUAGGAAGGACAGAGUCAGUAAAAGAGUCAAUAAACCUGUUCUGGAUUAAUUCUUACCUAAAGAUUAGGGCUGCUGGUUGCCAAUCGGACCCACCGUGACCCUGACCAGGAUAAAAAAAUUGAAUUAAUAAAUAAUGACACAGUUAAGAGAAUUGAACGUGGUUUAUUUCAGAGCUUCUGCUCGUCCCCCUCCGCUGGUAUGACCGGUUGAACCGAAAUUAAAAACACACCAAGUGGUACAGCACUGAAACGUCCAUAAAUUUCGAGUUCACCGGGUCCAACAGUAGCUGGCACGUUAAAAAGAACGACGGGACGAGCCGGAGACGAACGAGAACCGACUGGAGGCGACGGACGGACUGGCAGGUCGACGCUGGGCAGGAUCAGCUGAGCAAAACAACAGAACAGUUUCCUACACGACUCGCCGUGUUUGCGUUAUAACCGCGGCGUCUCUUUCACUGCAGGGCCGAACGAUCGUGGCGGCUUCGUUAGGUUUCAGCCACGCCCAUUUUUAUCAAUCACAAAGGGAACUAAAAACACAUUCUGUAAAC